GAUGAACGCUGGCGGCGUGCCUAAUACAUGCAAGUCGAGCGAACGGACGAGAAGCUUGCUUCUCUGAUGUUAGCGGCGGACGGGUGAGUAACACGUGGAUAACCUACCUAUAAGACUGGGAUAACUUCGGGAAACCGUAGCUAAUACCGGAUAAUAUUUUGAACCGCAUGGUUCAAAAGUGAAAGACGGUCUUGCUGUCACUUAUAGAUGGAUCCGCGCUGCAUUAGCUAGUUGGUAAGGUAACGGCUUACCAAGGCAACGAUGCAUAGCCGACCUGUGAGGGUGAUCGGCCACACUGGAACUGAGACACGGUCCAGACUCCUACGGGAGGCAGCAGUAGGGAAUCUUCCGCAAAGGGCGAAAGCCUGACGGAGCAACGCCGCGUGAGUGAUGAAGGUCUUCGGAUCGUAAAACUCUGUUAUUAGGGAAGAACAUAUGUGUAAGUAACUGUGCACAUCUUGACGGUACCUAAUCAGAAAGCCACGGCUAACUACGUG
Molecule: ribosomal RNA, 497 nt
Filed under: uncultured bacterium
Lineage: Bacteria
Description: partial 16S ribosomal RNA
Rfam family: Bacterial small subunit ribosomal RNA
Source: RNAcentral